CGGGUAUGGCAGUCUUCCGAUUGCGUAACAGGCAGGAGGCUGAGGUAUUUUCUCAUCUAUUGCUUCUCUCUUUCCUGAGUCACUGCACAGAACCCUAGUGAUAAAUUUAGCUCUUGUAGGAGUGUUACAUGCUGCUGGGCUCCAGAGGACCUUGUGCUUCAACACAAGGGCUGACUGAUUUGCAAGAAGAGCCCCUAGGCAGUGCUGUAUCAGACCCGCAGAUACUUCCCUAGUAUCUCUUGUGGGUUUGGACUCAAGAAAUGCCAGGGCCUGUGACUGAGGCUGACCUUUAUUGCUCGUGGUAUACUGGCUGAAUCAGAGGAGAGGACAGAAAAUAAAAUCUGGUUGCAGAGCGCAAAUGAAUUUUACAAAAGCACAUAGCUUAUCUUCUUCGGACUGGGCUAGUGUGAUGGAGUUUUUCCUGAUUCUUUUAGUCAAAAUGAACAACGUCGAGACGGUCUAUUGGCAGUAGCUUCAGCCUUCAGGGUGUGGGGCGAGGAGAAGAACGUGGAGCCCUUCCCAGGUAGACCUGGCUCGUGCUGGAAGCAGCUCUGAUAGUCGGACUUCAGCAGCUCACAGACUACUCUUCCGGAUGGUGCAUGUUGCCGGUCCUCACAUGGCAGAAGAGCAGAAGGCAAAAAGGGAUGAACACCCCCCUCCGAAGCCCUUUUCAGAAGGUCACCUGUCUUUAGCCAGGUUUCAGCCUGAGUUUUGGAGGGACACACACGUUCAAACCACGGCAAAGAGCAAAACUUGUAGAGGCAAAUACCUGCAACAGUGUGCAGUCGGGAGGAACAGCUGUGAAGUCCCUCGUCCAUUUCCACCGACCUGGAUGCAGUGCCCUGUGCCACGCGGUCUACUGUCCUGCUGCUUCCCUCCGUCUCCCAGUGACAUCGUGUGGCCUUGAGAAGCAACAGCAGUGGAUCACGGUGUCUCAAGAUCAUUC
This 946-nucleotide long non-coding RNA is filed under the name Heterocephalus glaber (naked mole-rat). RNAcentral describes it as "lncRNA (ENSHGLG00000033337.1)". The record is from RNAcentral. Lineage: Eukaryota; Metazoa; Chordata; Mammalia; Rodentia; Bathyergidae.